AGUAAUAUGCCUGAUAAAAGGAAUAUUUUGAUGAAAUAUAUAUGUAAUUUUUACUAUUACUU
Molecule: transfer RNA, 62 nt
Filed under: Andrena haemorrhoa
Lineage: Eukaryota; Metazoa; Arthropoda; Insecta; Hymenoptera; Andrenidae
Description: tRNA-Ile
Source: RNAcentral